CCAGACUCCUACGGGAGGCAGCAGUGAGGAAUAUUGGUCAAUGGGCGCGAGCCUGAACCAGCCAAGUAGCGUGAAGGAUGACUGCCCUAUGGGUUGUAAACUUCUUUUAUAUGGGAAUAAAAUGUUCCACGUGUGGGAUUUUGUAUGUACCAUAUGAAUAAGGAUCGGCUAACUCCGUGCCAGCAGCCGCGGUAAUACGGAGGAUCCGAGCGUUAUCCGGAUUUAUUGGGUUUAAAGGGAGCGUAGGUGGAUUGUUAAGUCAGUUGUGAAAGUUUGCGGCUCAACCGUAAAAUUGCAGUUGAAACUGGCAGUCUUGAGUACAGUAGAGGUGGGCGGAAUUCGUGGUGUAGCGGUGAAAUGCAUAGAUAUCACGCAGAACUCCGAUUGCGAAGGCAGCAUACCGGCGCUCAACUGACGCUCAUGCACGAAAGUGCGGGUAUCGAACAGGAUUAGAUACCCUAGUACA
RNAcentral lists this ribosomal RNA (466 nucleotides) under uncultured bacterium. Its description in RNAcentral is "bacterial SSU rRNA". It matches the Rfam family "Bacterial small subunit ribosomal RNA", at positions 331 to 794 of the family's 1533-position model. The record is from RNAcentral.